UUGUGUUUGAUACCCUGAGAAGC
RNAcentral lists this non-coding RNA (23 nucleotides) under Cricetulus griseus (Chinese hamster). The record is from RNAcentral. Lineage: Eukaryota; Metazoa; Chordata; Mammalia; Rodentia; Cricetidae.